GACGAACGCUGGCGGCGUGCCUAAUACAUGCAAGUUGAGCGCUGAAGGUUGGUACUUGUACCCACUGGAUGAGCAGCGAACAGGUGAGUAACGCGUGGGGAAUCUGCCUUUGAGCGGGGGACAACAUUUGGAAACGAAUGCUAAUACCGCAUAAAAACUUUAAACACAAGUUUUAAGUUUGAAAGAUGCAAUUGCAUCACUCAAAGAUGAUCCCGCGUUGUAUUAGCUAGUUGGUGAGGUAAAGGCUCACCAAGGCGAUGAUACAUAGCCGACCUGAGAGGGUGAUCGGCCACAUUGGGACUGAGACACGGCCCAAACUCCUACGGGAGGCAGCAGUAGGGAAUCUUCGGCAAUGGACGAAAGUCUGACCGAGCAACGCCGCGUGAGUGAAGAAGGUUUUCGGAUCGUAAAACUCUGUUGGUAGAGAAGAACGUUGGUGAGAGUGGAAAGCUCAUCAAGUGACGGUAACUACCCAGAAAGGGACGGCUAACUACGUG
Molecule: ribosomal RNA, 497 nt
Filed under: uncultured bacterium
Lineage: Bacteria
Description: partial 16S ribosomal RNA
Rfam family: Bacterial small subunit ribosomal RNA
Source: RNAcentral